This is a long non-coding RNA of Mytilus trossulus (common blue mussel), 605 nucleotides long. RefSeq lists it as uncharacterized. The transcript has 3 exons. The record is from RefSeq and is a predicted model, not a curated record. NCBI's taxonomy places the organism in Eukaryota, Metazoa, Mollusca, Bivalvia, Mytilida, Mytilidae.
UAAAAUAAUCUUUUAUAGUAUUUAUAAACAAGAUGUGAGUGAAUUUCUUUAAUUUCCGGAGUCAUUGUCCGAAUAUGAUCUUAUAUUAAUUAACAAACAGAGUUAUCUAUCGUUGUAAGUUGAUACGGACGCCUUCGGACCCGCCAAAGACGAACAACAUUUAAAACAAUGGAUCCCAUCUAUCAAGCAUACAAAUCUAUUGACGAUGCAACAGAUACAGAACUUCAUAUUAGAAUAUUGACGGAAUCAAAAGCCAUCUUAACAGUUAUUACUGCAGCGGAAGGACUAUGACACUGAAGUGGGAAUGAAAUUUUAAGAGCUAGAAUACAUCCAUACAUAGAUCCAAUUGAAGAACAGAUCAGGAAGAGAGAAAAGGAUGACUUAAUUUCAAGAACAGAUGAUACAAAAGUUCACCUGACAACCAAAAGGGAAAUGCACCAAGAGCCUUUAUCAUUCAAAAGAGGAUUGUUCCGCAAUGAAAGAUUCCUGUAUGUUAGGAGAUGGACUAACAAAUUCUGUUUUGUUGAGGAUAAAAAUCAUCAAAUUUUAUAAUUGUAUUUUUUGUUUUAGUGAGACUUAAAAAUAAAUUAUUUAACUAAAUUGAA